Molecule: ribosomal RNA, 253 nt
Filed under: uncultured bacterium
Lineage: Bacteria
Description: partial 16S ribosomal RNA
Rfam family: Bacterial small subunit ribosomal RNA
Source: RNAcentral
UACGGAGGGAGCUAGCGUUGUUCGGAAUUACUGGGCGUAAAGCGCGCGUAGGCGGUUACUCAAGUCAGAGGUGAAAGCCCGGAGCUCAACUCCGGAACUGCCUUUGAAACUAGGUGACUAGAAUCUUGGAGAGGCGAGUGGAAUUCCGAGUGUAGAGGUGAAAUUCGUAGAUAUUCGGAAGAACAUCAGUGGCGAAGGCGGCCAUCUGGGACAACACUGACGCUGAAGCACGAAAGCGUGGGGAGCAAACAGG